This 746-nucleotide small RNA is filed under the name Pongo abelii (Sumatran orangutan). RNAcentral describes it as "retained intron". Lineage: Eukaryota; Metazoa; Chordata; Mammalia; Primates; Hominidae. The record is from RNAcentral.
AUUGUCUUUCUCAUACACAGAUGUAUUGCUUGGUAAAAGAUUGGCCUCCAAUCAAACCUGAACAGGCUAUGGAACUUCUGGACUGUAAUUACCCAGAUCCUAUGGUUCGAGGUUUUGCUGUUCGGUGCUUGGAAAAAUAUUUAACAGAUGACAAACUUUCUCAGUAUUUAAUUCAGCUAGUACAGGUCCUAAAAUAUGAACAAUAUUUGGAUAACUUGCUUGUGAGAUUUUUACUUAAGAAAGCAUUGACUAAUCAAAGGAUUGGGCACUUUUUCUUUUGGCAUUUAAAAUCUGAGAUGCACAAUAAAACAGUUAGCCAGAGGUUUGGCUUGCUUUUGGAGUCCUAUUGUCGUGCAUGUGGGAUGUAUUUGAAGCACCUGAAUAGGCAAGUCGAGGCAAUGGAAAAGCUCAUUAACUUAACUGACAUUCUCAAACAGGAGAAGAAGGAUGAAACACAAAAGGUACAGAUGAAGUUUUUAGUUGAGCAAAUGAGGCGACCAGAUUUCAUGGAUGCUCUACAGGGCUUUCUGUCUCCUCUAAACCCUGCUCAUCAACUAGGAAACCUCAGGCUUGAAGAGUGUCGAAUUAUGUCCUCUGCAAAAAGGCCACUGUGGUUGAAUUGGGAGAACCCAGACAUCAUGUCAGAGUUACUGUUUCAGAACAAUGAGAUCAUCUUUAAAAAUGGGGAUGAUUUACGGCAAGAUAUGCUAACACUUCAAAUUAUUCGUAUUAUGGAAAAUAUCUGG